This 467-nucleotide ribosomal RNA is filed under the name uncultured bacterium. RNAcentral describes it as "partial 16S ribosomal RNA". It matches the Rfam family "Bacterial small subunit ribosomal RNA", at positions 28 to 507 of the family's 1533-position model. The record is from RNAcentral.
GAUGAACGCUGGCGGCGUGCUUAACACAUGCAAGUCGAACGAUGAUGCCCAGCUUGCUGGGUGGAUUAGUGGCGAACGGGUGAGUAACACGUGAGUAACCUGCCCUUGACUCUGGGAUAAGCCUGGGAAACUGGGUCUAAUACCGGAUACGACCAUCUGGCGCAUGUCAUGGUGGUGGAAAGCUUUUGUGGUUUUGGAUGGACUCGCGGCCUAUCAGCUUGUUGGUGGGGUAAUGGCCUACCAAGGCGACGACGGGUAGCCAGCCUGAGAGGGUGACCGGCCACACUGGGACUGAGACACGGCCCAGACUCCUACGGGAGGCAGCAGUGGGGAAUAUUGCACAAUGGGCGCAAGCCUGAUGCAGCGACGCCGCGUGAGGGAUGACGGCCUUCGGGUUGUAAACCUCUUUCAGUAGGGAAGAAGCGAAAGUGACGGUACCUGCAGAAGAAGCGCCGGCUAACUACGUG